GCCUCCGUGGCCCAAUGGAUAAGGCAUCGGCCUCCUAAGCUAAACGCGGUGAGAGACAGCCGGGGAUUGCGGGUUCGAGUCCCGUCGGAGGUG
This is a transfer RNA of Lottia gigantea (owl limpet), 93 nucleotides long. It matches the Rfam family "tRNA". From Rfam's summary of the family: Transfer RNA (tRNA) molecules are approximately 80 nucleotides in length. The record is from Rfam. Lineage: Eukaryota; Metazoa; Mollusca; Gastropoda; Lottiidae.